UGUCGAUGAAGAGCGCAGCAAACUGUGUGAAUUAAUGUGAACUGCAACCUGCCAUGAACAUCGACAACUUGAUUGCACAUUGCGGCCAUGGGUUAGCCUGUGGCCACGCCUGUCCGAGAGUCG
RNAcentral lists this ribosomal RNA (123 nucleotides) under Transversotrema atkinsoni. RNAcentral's name for it is "partial 5.8S ribosomal RNA". It matches the Rfam family "5.8S ribosomal RNA", at positions 33 to 154 of the family's 154-position model. From Rfam's summary of the family: 5.8S ribosomal RNA (5.8S rRNA) is a component of the large subunit of the eukaryotic ribosome. It is transcribed by RNA polymerase I as part of the 45S precursor that also contains 18S and 28S rRNA. Functionally, it is thought that 5.8S rRNA may be involved in ribosome translocation. Lineage: Eukaryota; Metazoa; Platyhelminthes; Trematoda; Azygiida; Transversotrematidae. The record is from RNAcentral. RNAcentral also lists the same sequence under 4 other names.